CAUCAAGCACCUGUAUUUAAAAAGCAAAGCAUCAUAUAUCGGAGAGUUAGAAUGUAGAAGCUGUAAAACCUCAGUGGAAUCAAUUUCGAUUUCCAAGGGGGUAUAGUUGAGGUCUACUGCCAUCUGAAGACCUUGGACAAGUGUGUUGAGUUCCAUCUCAAGAUGGUUAUUAGCAGGAAACUUGACACAAUACCCUACUUGCCACUGACCAGUGCAAUCUCUUAUUACUCCCCCGAUCCCUCCUAUUUUGAUGUUGUCCCUAAAAGCUCCAUCAACAUUAAGUUUAUAACUACCACGGUUAAGGGGAUGCCAUUUGAUCAUGAUGGAUUUAUAUGUUUUUCUAGUGGGAUGGUUGUUGGUCAUGUACAUAUAUUCCUGCACACGGGUAAUAACCUGGGCAAUAGAAACAUUAUUUGUGAUAUUAUUGAAAAUGUUAUGGUUUCUAUUUUUUCAGAUAUACCAAAGAGCAAAAGGGUAAAAAUAGCUCCAAUGGAUGCGGGGGUUAUGUAAGGUUGAUUUUACAAGAAGUUAUCAGCACGAAUGCUAGUCUUUGCGCAUCAAGAACCGAUGGUAGCCUGCUGACACAUAAAAUAUGUGGCGUAAGUUAAAUUUCAAUUCCUUUUGUCCACAAGGUAUGUUUGAUUUUUUAUUUUUUUUUGGUAAUGACAAGGUAUGAUUAAAUACUACUUCUUGUUUGCACUGAAUUUUGUUGUUCUGCGACUACCGCCCUACCUAUUAUGUAGAUCUAACAGUGCUUACCAUCCUAAACUUCUGUCACUUUUAAUUAUACUAGAGGAGAGACACACUACAUAUAACCGUUUAACUUCUAAAUGCAGGUGAUUGAUGCAGUCACUGGGGAAUCCAGCAGUCAGGCACACUUACGGGGAGCGAAACAUACUUGUUGAUCUGCUAGCCAAGGAAGGGGCUAAGGGAAGGUCUUUUUGAUGGGAUAAAGAUUUUGGUAGUUCCUCAGAUGUUUACCACUAAUGUUAUAUGGGUAGACAUCCUAGAAACUACAUUUGGCCUCUUUGCUAAGGAAUGUAAUAUUAAUGUGUUGGGCACAUCCAUCAGACAAAUUAAGGGCUUGCCCCCUAUUAACAUGUGCUUCUACAAUUACACUCAUUUGUGGCACAUUUACACGAUCUUGUCUAUCAACUCAUGGUUAUGGAGUGUUGUCUUCCAAAAUCGAGCCAUGGAUUUACAAGAUAGCUUGACUACUCAUCUGCUGUGCCAUUACUUGGAUUUUCACUGAUUUUGUCAAUCCAAGUCUUGGUUUCUGCGCCUCUGCGUGCCUAUACAGACACCUAUCAAAUGGACUCUGGUAAUGUUAUCGUCUCGUAUUUUAAUUUUGGGAUACAAUGUGUAUGCCUUAGCAAUAAGAUGUUGACAGUUCCUCUUGAGUUGUGCCUAUACAAGUACUUAUUUUAGUUCACACUAAGUAGUGUAUGAGAGAAACUGAAGAAGAAGAGGGGAACAAGAAAGGAAAUAAUGAAAACAAAGGGGGAGGUCUUAGCCAGAACCGCAGAAGCAAAUCUAAAUUGGAUUUACUAAGUUCAACUGAAUUUACUGCCUUCAGGUUGAACAAUGUAGGUAUAUAUAUGGAAAUAAAAUUGUGUGUGUCUAUAAAAUAGAUCAGACCAAUACUAAACUCACUAA
Lycium barbarum (goji berry) is the source of this 1656-nucleotide long non-coding RNA. RefSeq lists it as uncharacterized. The record is from RefSeq and is a predicted model, not a curated record. NCBI's taxonomy places the organism in Eukaryota, Viridiplantae, Streptophyta, Magnoliopsida, Solanales, Solanaceae. The transcript is spliced from 3 exons.